Molecule: ribosomal RNA, 277 nt
Filed under: uncultured bacterium
Lineage: Bacteria
Description: partial 16S ribosomal RNA
Rfam family: Bacterial small subunit ribosomal RNA
Source: RNAcentral
GACGAACGCUUGCGGCGUGCCUAAGAAAUGCAAGUCGAGCGGGGAAAGAGCUUUUGUUCUUUUCUAGCGGCGAACGGUCGCGUAACACGUAGGCAACCUGCCCCAAAGACCGGGACAACACUCCGAAAGGGGUGCUAAUACCGGAUGUGUCCGUCUGCUUGCAUGAGCGGGCGAGUAAAUCCCUUCGGGGGCUUUGGGAGGGGCCUGUGGCCUAUCAGCUAGAUGGUGGGGUAACGGCUUACCAUGGCGACGACGGGUAGCUGGUCUGAGAGGAUGG